GCUUCUCGCUGACGAGCGGCGGACGGGUGAGUAAUACUUAGGAAUCUGCCCAGUAGUGGGGGAUAGCACGGGGAAACUCGUAUUAAUACCGCAUACACCCUACGGGGAAAAGGGGGCGCUUGCGCUCUCGCUAUUGGAUGAGCCUAAGUCGGAUUAGCUAGUUGGUGGGGUAAAGGCCUACCAAGGCGACGAUCUGUAGCUGGUCUGAGAGGAUGAUCAGCCACACCGGGACUGAGACACGGCCCGGACUCCUACGGGAGGCAGCAGUGGGGAAUAUUGGACAAUGGGGGCAACCCUGAUCCAGCCAUGCCGCGUGUGUGAAGAAGGCCUUUUGGUUGUAAAGCACUUUAAGCAGUGAAGAAGACUCUAUGGUUAAUACCCAUAGACGAUGACAUUAGCUGCAGAAUAAGCACCGGCUAACUCUGUGCCAGCAGCCGCGGUAAUACAGAGGGUGCAAGCGUUAAUCGGAAUUACUGGGCGUAAAGCGAGCGUAGGUGGCUUAAUAAGUCAGAUGUGAAAUCCCCGGGCUUAACCUGGGAACUGCAUCUGAUACUGUUGGGCUAGAGUAGGUGAGAGGGAGGUAGAAUUUCAGGUGUAGCG
Molecule: ribosomal RNA, 600 nt
Filed under: uncultured bacterium
Lineage: Bacteria
Description: bacterial SSU rRNA
Rfam family: Bacterial small subunit ribosomal RNA
Source: RNAcentral